GUUUACCUACGGGGCGCAGCAGUAGGGAAUCUUCGGCAACGGACGAAAGUAUGACCGAGCAACGCCGCGUGAGUGAAGAAGGUUUUCGGAUCGUAAAACUCUGUUGGUAGAGAAGAACGUUGGUGAGAGUGGAAAGCUCAUCAAGUGACGGUAACUACCCAGAAAGGGACGGCUAACUACGUGCCAGCAGACGCGGUAAUACGUAGGUCCCGAGCGUUGUCCGGAUUUAUUGGGCGGAAAGCGAGCGCAGGUGGUUUAUUAAGUCUGGUGUAAAAGGCAGUGGCUCAAGCAUUGUAUGCAUUGGA
RNAcentral lists this ribosomal RNA (305 nucleotides) under uncultured bacterium. Its description in RNAcentral is "bacterial SSU rRNA". It matches the Rfam family "Bacterial small subunit ribosomal RNA", at positions 333 to 630 of the family's 1533-position model. The record is from RNAcentral.